GUAAGGUAAAGUCUGCUCCUCGCAACUAUCCUACAUCUUUCCUUUACCCUUGUCCUUUCUUGAGGUUUCGGGCUUAACUGCAAUAUAAUUCAUGAUAUAGCAAGAAUGAGCAACAAGUUUGCUCAGCAAGUUUAAAUACAACAAUAAGGAUAUAUCAUGAUGAAUGGAAAAUAUCUGACAAUGAAUUCAACAAUAUGAAUAUCUGAAGGAUUCAACAAUAUGAAUAUUAGAAGCAAGAUAAUGAUUUCUUUUAGAAUAACUGAUAGUCAAGUAGACUUUGAACUAUACAAACUCUAAUAGAAUCAAUAGUUGAUUGACCCUUUGGUUACUGGCUACAGAAUAAGUACUUGAGGGGAUCAGCCUCGCAUACACCAUGUAUAUGCGUAACAUUUAAAUAUGCUCUUUGUAUCUUAUAUUAGAUACCUGGGGUACUCCCCUAUCAUAAAAGGGGUGUUCUUUCAGUCUAAGAAUCUUUACCAUCAAUUGGUUUGGAUAGCUUUUACAAAACUUCAUACACUUGUCUGACUGAACAAAGGUUCAAACUCUAUCUGACACAAUUCAAGAAUUAUAGAACUUUAAAUGAUGUACAAGUCCAAGACUGUACGAACUCAAGUGCACUAAGUGUGAAUAUCAAUAAUAUCGAUGUGGAAUAAUUGUAAAGUAAUUAAAACCACUUAAUAGCAUGCUUGGAAGUAAAGUUCAAGCUUAAAUGAAUAACUUUCAAUUCAACAAUAACCUGCUCAAUACAACAUGAGGAGGAUAGGAAACUUUCACAAAAUUCAAAGUUGUGUAAAUUAGGAAACUUGCUUCAAGCGUAGUUUACCAAAGUAAAGCUUAAUAUCAAUCAAAUGCACUAUGAUAUCCUAUUCAUGUAUAAUCACAUUAGUUAUACAAGUUCAACAUGUACACCUAUUAUCUUAACUUACUAUCAUACACAAGUGUACUUUAUCAAUACUAACAUAUAUUGCUCGCCUUCUAGUCGCAUAAUCUUAUACGAAUGUCAUCACAUGCAAAUUAGUUUCUAACACACUAUGUCAUAGUUGAAAUCACAAUUUGACUUUAAAGUUGUAAACACUAGUUUGUCAUAGGUUCCUUUCAAUAACAUGCUUAUUAACACAUGAAUACCAUACUGGACAUGUAUUACAGAUUAGAGUAACCAUAUAAGCAUGCAUCAGCUCUCAAUUUAUUAACAGAGCUCAGACCCUACUGCAGACUGGCGUGGCCGCGUUUGGUUUGUAUUGAGGAGUGGCGUGGCCGCACUGCUCCUGGUGCAAACCAAGACAUGGUUGCUCUUGCAGAAAACUAGUGUACACACGACUUGCACAAAUACGAAUAAUCAUGCAAAACACACAUGUUAGUAUGUGGAUAACCAAGUUUGACCCCAUAUCAUAACAUUAACAUAGGUCACCAUCUAUUCUCAUUUAGUCAAGACUUUAAGUGUUCAUUUCAUAAUAUUUUUACAUUUAAACGUCAAACACAUGCUAUGUGGUUCAUAGGUCUCUACUUCACAUGCCUGCAUUUGUUAAAUCAAGUAUCUCAAGUUAUGAAGUUCUACUUUAUUUAUGCUUACUCUCAACCACACUUAACUAGUUUCACAAUGCAUAUAACUCACUAGGCCUUCAUAUCAAUUACAUUUACAUGCAUGACACACCUAAUCGUGACGUCUCACGUACAAGUUAAACCUUAUAAGCAUGUUCACAAAUCUUACUCAAAGCGUAUAUAGAGUUUGUUUUCAAAACUUUAAGUUUUCAUUAGUAAAAUUUAUUCAAGCAUGCAAGGUAAGUUCACAUAUUCCAUAACAUGCUUCCAUAACCACAUAAUAGGUUACAUGGGCAUGUUUAUGAAGUUUAAAACUUAGUUUAUGCAUAAUUUAUGUACACAUAGCUAAUAUAGUCUUUUACUUGCAUUUUUCUUUUAAUUCAUGCUUGACUACAACAUACCCUCCUCAACAAUGUAAACUAACAUAUUGGUCACAUUUUAAUGUAUAUCAGAACUUGAUACAUUCACAACCAAGGUCAGAACAUGUUUUUGAAAAAGGUUUAUCAAAACUAGUUUCCAACUCUUUAAGUCCUCUUUGAAUAAUCAAACUAAAACAACUAUCAUGACUCACUAUAUCCAUAGCAUCUUCAUUCCAUGUGCUAAGGUUGCUUAUAAGCACAUACUAACCAAAGUAGCAUACUCAUAAUGGAACAAGAGAUUACAAAAAUUAGUACACAUGACUGGCAGCCGACGCGGCCGCGUGAUCAUCUACUAUAGAAGUGGCGCGGCCGCGCCACUUCGAGCAUCAUGAAAAAUAAUGGCUCUGCAUUUGCAGAGCCUCAACACAAACCAUGCUAAAUCUGCAACCAAACCAACUACAAUGCUUCUAAGCAUGCAAACAACUUCAGACAACACAAUGACAUACUAUUCUACAUCAAUUAACAGAGAAUUUCAUGAGAAUUGCAAGAAUUUAACAAAACUUAGACUAAGAACAAAAUAGAAAUUAUACCUCCUUGAACCUUAACUAGAUUCCUCAAAACACUAAUUACACUCUCUCAAUGCUCAGCCACGCUCACUCUCUUUCUACACUUAUCAGACAAAUUCUUUAGCAACUGAGAAAUGAAGAAGAAGGGGCUAUAUAUAGAGAACUCAUUGUCCAGACAUUGCUCUUACACCAUGGUUUGAUUCAAUGGAGAUUGAGAAGAAAUGUUGGGUAUAGAAGGGUUGGUCAACUGCCAAUUCCUAGCCAUCAUCACUGCUAAUGCUAUGAAGCUGGAGUUUUACGCAAUGAAGAUGGUAGGCUACUGUUUGGUUACUGUUUGGGACUCUUAAUAUGGGACACAGACUUUUAAAUCCCAGCAACGUGUUUAUAAUGCUUACUUUGUUCUCUUAUAUCCCCAAAAUAUAAUUUUAAUGUGUUAAUGCUACUACACAAUGAAAAGUUAGGGAUUAUUUAUGUACUCACAUGAAUGCAAUAACUCUUACUAUAUAGUCUAUAAUAUAUAGACAUAUUAGUGUGUCACCUUGUACUAUAUAAGAUAUAUAGUUAACUACCAUAUAAUAAAGGUUUUACUAUAUUGCAUGCUUGCACAAAUUAAUCAAGUAAAUAUAAUCAUAUUAUAUUUAUUAAUCUCUUACUCAUUAAUUAUUAUUUAUUCAUAAUAAUUAUAAAUCAACACAUUAUCAAUUUAAUUACCCAUAAUUACAAUUAAUCAAUAUGUUUAAAUCCUGCCACUAUAUUCAAAUAAAUUGAAUAUUUAAUUAUUAAUAAUUCUAUCAAUUCUUUGAUAUUAAAGUCUUAGGGUUAGUCCACUAAUUUAAAUAAACUAUUAGUGACUCCCUUUAAUCAUUUCAUAAAUUCACAUAACCACAUAAGGUUUAAAUAGACUCAUAAAAUUAACUCAUUAAAAAUUAAAUCACAUAUUUAUUUAAUAAGGAGUUUAAAAUUCACGGUCAUUAUAGUGAGGUAGACACAUAUCAGGGUGGACUUUAGAAAGCAAUGCAGAUUUUUUACGUUUAGAAGAUGAAGUGGUUUCCAUAUUGAUAACAGAGGUACAAAGUAUGUAAUAUGAGAGUGAAACUGAGAUGAAAUUGCAGAGUAAGACUCAGAUAAUAGAAUAGAGAGAUAAAGUAAGAGUUUGAGGUGAGUGAAGUCUGAUGCAGUGUUCUGAAUUUAUACACGAAGCAUUAGUCAAGUAGAAAAGUUCAAUAUUUAAUGUAUUUUCAUGAAAAGAGAAUGAUUGUCUAAGAUACAUACAUAGUAAGGGCAGAAAGAUUUUCAGUAAAUGCAAGAUUUGAUUUUCAAGAAACUAAGACAUACUUUGAACUGUAGAUUAUUUUUCAAAGAUAUCAGAGUAUUUAAGAAAAAUAUUGAUUCUAGGUAGAAGAUGGAAAUCAAUCAUAGCAUUACCAUUGACCAAACCAUAAACUUUAUUUUUAAACCUUAGUUCAGUUUCAAAAAUAAAGAGAAAAUGUUCAGUAUGAACUAAACAGACAACCAACAGCUGACAACAGAGUUUAACACAUACACACAAAUAUGCAUUCAUCAAGUAUUUAUAUCCAUCACCGAAUAUACAUGAAAAGAAAUCAAGUAUCUCAACAGUGCAUACCAUUAAUUCGAGAAAAAUAGAAUAGAAGAGAUGAAUAUAGUCACAAAAAUCUGACAGUAAGAAACUUAGACAUAUAAAUGUAUAGAUUUUACCUUAGCAGUUGUUUAACACUCUUCAAAGAAAUAUAGGAAAUGCAUGCACAACUACUCUUUAGCUUUUCUUCAAUAAACUCAUCAUGCAGAGUACUAUAUAUAUAUAUAUAUAUAUAUAUAUAUAUAUAUAUAUAUAUAUGUAUUUAUAUGUGUGUGUGUAUACAGUCUGUUUCUGGUGCAUACCCCUUUAUUUUACAUACCUUGUUCACCACCUUUAGCGACGGACCGGGCGAAGGUUUUAGUCCAUCGCAAUAGAACAGAUAAACGGUUUAUAUGUUAUGGCGACGGUUCGAUGCGUCGCUAAAAACUAAGACGACGGUUCUCUGAUAUACGCGAAAAACUGAAUCAUCAUCCGGUCCGUCGCUAAAGGUGAUAAGCAAUGUAUGUUAAAUAAAGGGGUAUGCAUUUGAUCAUCUUCGUAUAUAUAUAUAUAUAUAUAUGGGCCCGAUCAGAAGCAAUACUCCUAAAUAACAUUACUUUCUUAAAGAGCAUUAUAUAGACCUACAUGUUUUUUCCUUUUUCUCCUCACUCAGUCAUAAUAGAACGACUUUCUUUCGCCAGAAAACCCUUUGCCGCAAAAUCGAAGCUGCCAAAAUCGAUUCCCUUGAAAUCGAUAGCUACAAAAUCGAAGAGAGAGAAAGUGAAACCCUUGAUCCCCUCCAGAAACGCGAUUGCUGCAAGAGAGAAAGUCAAACCCUAGAAAUCUCAUGAUACGUAGAGGUGCAUGACUUGAAAAUUCCCUGUUCUUUUUCCUCUUAAAUUUGUUAAAGAAUUAAGUCAGCACAUGUCUGUAACAUAUUUGGACAACACUUGUGCAAUUUGAAUUUCACGAAAGCAGAGUACUUAACGGUUUAAUGCUUUGAUAUGUUGUUAUCUUUUCCUUAUGUGCUUCUCAAGGUUGUUAUCGUCAUUACUUAUUUUUUUAUGUUUUGCUUGGUUUUUUUUUCCUUUUAUACUCUGCACUAGUUUCCUUUCAAGUAAAAAUUUAUGCAUUACAUGUAAAAAUGUAGGAUGUGUAAUACUUCUUUGUGCAUUACAUGUAAAAAUUUAUACUCUGAAAGUGCAUUACAUGUAAAAAAAUUCACAGAAAAAUAUGUGCAUUACAUGUAAAAAUUUAUACUCUGCAUUCAAGUAAAAAUUUAUGUACUACUAGUAGAGACACAAUGUAAACUUGAGCAUGCAUAAGAUUACAUUUGGUCAAUAAGAAUAUUACAGUUGGUCAUAGUUACAGAUUACAGACAGAUAAUGACAUUACAGAUUAUAGACAGAUAAUGACAUUCAAGCCCACCUUCCUUCAGGUGGCACAAUUAAUUUUUUAUCUCUAUUCUAUCUAGCAAGAUCAUAAGUUAAACAACUUUCCUUAGAAAAACUAACCAUCAUGAUAUGUUUUGCGGAGCCUGCAGUUGAUGUGUUGUCUUUUUUCUUCAAUGGUUCUGGAGCUUUUUGUACAACAGCCUCAUUUGGAACCAAUACUAUAGUCAUGUUCCUCUCUCUUAAGCUUUAGCUCUCCUCAACUGCAAGCUGGAAUGUUGUACCAAUAGAAAUGUCAAUCGCACCAUGUACAUAUAUAAACUUUAAAAACAGUGAACUUGGCCAAAAAAACAUCUUAUGGCUGGCUAAAUUUACAUUUCAACACAACAAAUUUUUUAUUUCAUAUCAAGUUAUAUACUUAAUACACAAUAUUACAUGUUUCUUUUACCUACUACAAAAAACACACUAGAUUUCUACAAACUAAGACUCAAAAACAUAGUACUGAACAUGAUAUCAAAAAAAAGAUACAUCUUUUUUCCCUAAACAAUGAUUCUUCCCAUUUUAAGUUGAUGUUUUAUAUUUGUUGAUUAACUUCAAUGUUUGUGUAUGAUUGUAUUAUCUUUUUAAUAGUGGUAAUAUGCUACCUAUUUCUUGAUAUUCUUAUAUAUUGUAACCUUAUAAUGAACAGGUCAUAUACUGCACAAGCUUGAGUUUGAGUGCUGAAGGAAGAACAUUGUUCAGUGGACACAUAGAUGGUGUUGUUAGGGGUUGGGGUAUUGGGUGUCUCUACAAAGCCAGAUCUAGACAAGAAAUUACAGAAUUGACUUCCUUGAUUGCAAUUUUAAAGUCAAUAUUGGUCUAGUUGAAAGGAUAUUGGAUUGUCUAACAAUGUUUGAUUGUAAAUAUUUUGUCCUCUUGAUGUUCUAACUCUGUAGGAUAGUUCUUUUUGCUAACUUAUUUGCACUUUGCCAUAUAUGAUAUAACUUAAGGUGCGGCUUAGUAGUCAUGAAUAUUGCUGAUAAAAAGUAGGUCACAUUUUUCUAAGUGACAGAAUCACUCUUUUACUAUGUCUUGAAAUUAGUUGGAGUUUGAUUGGCAACACUUUGUAUGGUCUCUGUCAAGUAUGUUUAUUGCUAUGUAAUACCAAUUUAAGUUACCAAGAUCAAUUUUGCAUUAUGUUGCUGCUUAUUAGCCAAAUUUGAAGUACUGUGCUAAAAUCAUUAUUAUCUGCAAGUAUUAGUUUUCUUAACCACAGACUGUCAAGCCAUCCUUCUUUUGGGAAGUAGAUACCUUAAUGGUUGUGUUCACUUAGUUCAUCUUGGCUUUCCAGAUGACAAGGAAGCUGAGUUCAGAUGACAAGGAAUCAAAUAAGUUACCAUCAAAACUAAUAAAGGAAAAGUAACCACAAUAUAUCUUCUUAAUGUUUCAAUUGCAACAGAGCUUCAAACAAUCAAUUCAGGCUUGGGUCCAAACUAAGUUCAAAAAAUAGAGUACAACAGAGUUACAUUACAAUCAGUUCAUUACAUUUAAAAUAGGGAUUCACACAUCCUAACAAAAACCAAAAUAUCAACUUGUUUAUUCUACCCUGUUAAAAUCCAUCUUGCAUCUGUCAAGAGGAAAAGAAAAGAGAUUUACCAAGUCUACAAUUCCUUGUAUAUCCAAUACACGGAACAAAUGUAGUAAAAUUGCAGUUUUUCCUCCUUUGUACAACAUGAUUAUGUCCAGAAGAUGCAAGCAUAAUUCAUAAUCAAUUCAACAUAAGAAGAAUCACUACGAGGACUGGUGUUGUUUUUAUCAGUUCCAAUAUCUGUCUUCUUAUCCGGUUGGAUUGAAUCUUUACAAGCAUGCUGUGAAAAGUCUACAGGUUCAGGUACAUGGGGAGGUACAACACUCCUCACUAAAGCCCAGAGUACAACAGAGCUUCAUUACAAUCAAUUCAUUACAUUUCAACCUCCGAGAUCUGCAACACCACGAAAAUCAUAAUUAAACUCCAUAACCGUAUAACCCCACCACUUUUAUCCUAUAACAAAACAAUAUAUAAAAGGAAAAUUAUUUUUGUUCAUACUCUUUUCAACUAAUGUAGCUCGUGUGAUUCACAAAAUUCAUAUCUUUAGGUAUAUAUGACAAAAUGUGAAGAAGAUCUUAAACCCAACAAACUCAAAUCAGUUAGUUAAUGGGCAAUAAAGAAACUAACUGAAAUUCGUAUAGAAACCUGCCAUAAAUAACCACACGAAGAUAAAUUCAUAAUAAAAAAUAAACAAAACUAACAAUAGACCUAAACCACACAUAAUGUCACAGUAAUCCACAUGUCAAAUGAGUGCACAAUCAAGAAUCAACAAAAUUUGUACAACAUGAAAUACCCACAUCACUACUUAAAUGAACAAUCUGAGAAUCAUAAAAAUCAACUACCUUUAUGAAAAAAAAAAACUACCAAAAUUUUUAAAAAGAAAUCAAAAAACACACAAUGGUUUUGAGAAAAAUACCAUCUUGAGUGACAAGUGGGUAAUCAGCAGCAGAAAGAUUGAUGAACCAGUCUCAAUUAGCCGAAAACCGAAGAAGUAUUACACAUCCUACAUUUUACAUGUAAUGCAUAAAUUUUUACUUGAAAGGAAACUAGUGCAGAGUAUAAAAGGAAAAAAAACCAAGAAAAACAUAAAAAAAACUAAGUAAUGCCGAUAACAACCUUGAGCAGCACAUAAGGAAAAGAUAACAGCAUAUCAAAGCAUUAAACCGUUAAGUACUCUGCUUUCGUGAAAUUCAAAUUGCACAAGUGUUGUCCAAAUAUGUUACAGACAUGUGCUGACUUAAUUCUCUAACAAAUUUAAGAGGAAAAAGAACAGGGAAUUUUCAAGUCAUAUGCACCUCUACGUUUGAAAAAUGGGGGCAUAAGACUUUAAUAAAUUAGGUAGAUUAGGGCUAGUUUGGAUUUAGCAUAACAGGUAAAUUAGGUAAAAGAACAGAGGAACAGUUAAGGUGUAAAAUUAAACUGCAAAAGUACCAAAUCGUAAGCCCUUACCGACUCGAACUGAUGAGAUGAAGGAGAUGCGAUUCUAGGGCACGUCGAAAUUUCAAGGCUAUAGGGCUCUCUCUUCUUCUAAAGACUAUAGGGCUCGAUUACUCUGAAGAUUUUGACAUCGAUUGAAGAUUUGGAGAACGUUCUGUGAAGAAUGGAAUCAAAAGAUGGAGAAGAACUCGUUCCCUCAGUCGAAACACACAACCCUUGAACUGAGAUUUCUAGGGCUUGACUUUCUCUCUUGUAGCAAUCGCAUUUCUGGAGGGGAUCAAGGGCUUCGCUUUCUCUCUCUUCGAUUUUGCAGCCAUCGAUUUCAAGGGAAUCGAUUUUUCCAGCUUCGAUUUUGUGGCAAAGGGUUUUCUGGCUAGAGGGAGUCGUUCUAUUAUGAUUGAAUGAGGAGAGAAAGGAAAAAACACGGAGGUUUUAAUUGAAUGUGUAUGUAUAUAUAUAUAUAUAUAUACUUGUAUAUAUGCUCAAAUAUAUCUUAUAGUUAAAUAUAUUUGAUAUAUAUAUAUAUUUUGAAAUAUAAGUUAAGUAUAUGAAGAAUAUAGUUUGAAAAAGAUACGAGUUUUAGAAAAUAUAUAUGUAUAUAAAUAUAUUUUUAUAAAGAGAGAUGAAAGAUUGUAAAGUAAAUUAUCAGAGAAAAAAAUUUAAUCUAGUUUUGAAACUCUAGAUCUAAAAUUUGACAAAUCUGAUAUCGAGAUGAAGACCAUUUAUAGAUCCAGUUUUGAUAUUUUAGAUAUGUAACAAGAGAAACAAAUCUUAAGAGAUAUAAGACAACCAACCAUAUUUUAUAAAGAGAUAACCGAAAAAAGAUUAUCAUGAUUAUUUUUGACAUAUUCAAAGCAAAGAAAUAUUAAGUUUUGUAAAUGAUUUUGAUAGAGCAAAAUUAAUGAUAGAUCAAACAUAUGAGAGAGUUAAUUCUCAGACAAUUUUAAAAAAAAAAUCGAAAAGAAAUUAGGGUUUCAGAGAUUAAAUUUUUUUUGGGAUUUUUGUAAAGGAUUUAUAUCUAAAGAAUAAUAGAGCUAGCUUGAUCCAAAUGAAACUCAAGAACACGAAGGAUCUAUCAUUUGACAUAUCUGAGAUCUAAAUAAAAUGAAAAAAAUUAAAUUUUUUUAAAAAAAUUAGUAAACACGUGAUUUAGACAGCGAAGAAUCAUUUAAUCUGAGUGAAAUUUUUGAAAACGUACGGGAGAUUAAAGAUUUGAGUUGAGAUAGAUUUAGGGUUUGAGAAAGUUUUGGGGAGAAAGAGAAAACGAUCAACUAAGGAUAGGGAAAUAGAAGAAGAAAAA
This 9735-nucleotide long non-coding RNA is filed under the name Panax ginseng (ginseng). Its description in RNAcentral is "long non-coding RNA (PGIN_LNC004631)". Lineage: Eukaryota; Viridiplantae; Streptophyta; Magnoliopsida; Apiales; Araliaceae. The record is from RNAcentral.